Molecule: ribosomal RNA, 2935 nt
Filed under: Serratia marcescens
Lineage: Bacteria; Pseudomonadati; Pseudomonadota; Gammaproteobacteria; Enterobacterales; Yersiniaceae
Description: bacterial LSU rRNA
Rfam family: Bacterial large subunit ribosomal RNA
Source: RNAcentral
GGGUUGUGAGGUUAAGUGACUAAGCGUACACGGUGGAUGCCUAGGCAGUCAGAGGCGAUGAAGGGCGUGCUAAUCUGCGAAAAGCGUCGGUAAGGUGAUAUGAACCGUUACAACCGGCGAUACCCGAAUGGGGAAACCCAGUGUGUUUCGACACACUAUCAUGUCAUGAAUACAUAGUGGCAUGAGGCGAACCGGGGGAACUGAAACAUCUAAGUACCCCGAGGAAAAGAAAUCAACCGAGAUUCCCCCAGUAGCGGCGAGCGAACGGGGAGGAGCCCAGAACCUGAAUCGGCUUGUGUGUUAGUGGAAGCGUCUGGAAAGUCGCGCAGUAAAGGGUGAUAGCCCCGUACACUAAAAUGCACAGGUCGUGAGUUCGAUGAGUAGGGCGGGACACGUGACAUCCUGUCUGAAUAUGGGGGGACCAUCCUCCAAGGCUAAAUACUCCUGACUGACCGAUAGUGAACCAGUACCGUGAGGGAAAGGCGAAAAGAACCCCGGCGAGGGGAGUGAAAUAGAACCUGAAACCGUGUACGUACAAGCAGUGGGAGCACCUUCGUGGUGUGACUGCGUACCUUUUGUAUAAUGGGUCAGCGACUUAUAUUUUGUAGCAAGGUUAACCGUAUAGGGGAGCCGUAGGGAAACCGAGUCUUAACUGGGCGAAUAGUUGCAAGGUAUAGACCCGAAACCCGGUGAUCUAGCCAUGGGCAGGUUGAAGGUUGGGUAACACUAACUGGAGGACCGAACCGACUAAUGUUGAAAAAUUAGCGGAUGACUUGUGGCUGGGGGUGAAAGGCCAAUCAAACCGGGAGAUAGCUGGUUCUCCCCGAAAGCUAUUUAGGUAGCGCCUCGUGAACUCAUCUUCGGGGGUAGAGCACUGUUUCGGCUAGGGGGCCAUCCCGGCUUACCAAACCGAUGCAAACUCCGAAUACCGAAGAAUGUUAUCACGGGAGACACACGGCGGGUGCUAACGUCCGUCGUGAAGAGGGAAACAACCCAGACCGCCAGCUAAGGUCCCAAAGUCAUGGUUAAGUGGGAAACGAUGUGGGAAGGCAUAGACAGCCAGGAUGUUGGCUUAGAAGCAGCCAUCAUUUAAAGAAAGCGUAAUAGCUCACUGGUCGAGUCGGCCUGCGCGGAAGAUGUAACGGGGCUAAACCAUGCACCGAAGCUGCGGCAGCGACGCUUAGGCGUUGUUGGGUAGGGGAGCGUUCUGUAAGCCGUUGAAGGUGGCCUGUGAGGGUUGCUGGAGGUAUCAGAAGUGCGAAUGCUGACAUAAGUAACGAUAAAGCGGGUGAAAAGCCCGCUCGCCGGAAGACCAAGGGUUCCUGUCCAACGUUAAUCGGGGCAGGGUGAGUCGACCCCUAAGGCGAGGCUGAAAAGCGUAGUCGAUGGGAAACAGGUUAAUAUUCCUGUACUUGGUGUUACUGCGAAGGGGGGACGGAGAAGGCUAGGCUAGCCGGGCGACGGUUGUCCCGGUUUAAGCGUGUAGGGGGUGUGACCUGGUAAAUCCGGUUACAUAUCAACCCUGAGGCGUGAUGACGAUGCACUACGGUGCAGAAGUAGUUGAUGCCCUGCUUCCAGGAAAAGCCUCUAAGCAUCAGGUAACAUUGAAUCGUACCCCAAACCGACACAGGUGGUCAGGUAGAGAAUACCAAGGCGCUUGAGAGAACUCGGGUGAAGGAACUAGGCAAAAUGGUGCCGUAACUUCGGGAGAAGGCACGCUGGCAUGUAGGUGAAGUCCUUCGCGGAUGGAGCUGAAGCCAGUCGAAGAUACCAGCUGGCUGCAACUGUUUAAUAAAAACACAGCACUGUGCAAACACGAAAGUGGACGUAUACGGUGUGACGCCUGCCCGGUGCUGGAAGGUUAAUUGAUGGGGUCAGCCGCAAGGCGAAGCUCUUGAUCGAAGCCCCAGUAAACGGCGGCCGUAACUAUAACGGUCCUAAGGUAGCGAAAUUCCUUGUCGGGUAAGUUCCGACCUGCACGAAUGGCGUAAUGAUGGCCAGGCUGUCUCCACCCGAGACUCAGUGAAAUUGAACUCGCUGUGAAGAUGCAGUGUACCCGCGGCAAGACGGAAAGACCCCGUGAACCUUUACUAUAGCUUGACACUGAACAUUGAGCCUUGAUGUGUAGGAUAGGUGGGAGGCUUUGAAGCGUGGACGCCAGUCUGCGUGGAGCCAUCCUUGAAAUACCACCCUUUAAUGUUUGAUGUUCUAACUCGGCCCCAUAAUCUGGGGUGAGGACAGUGUCUGGUGGGUAGUUUGACUGGGGCGGUCUCCUCCCAAAGAGUAACGGAGGAGCACGAAGGUUAGCUAAUCACGGUCGGACAUCGUGAGGUUAGUGCAAAGGCAUAAGCUAGCUUGACUGCGAGAGUGACGGCUCGAGCAGGUACGAAAGUAGGUCUUAGUGAUCCGGUGGUUCUGAAUGGAAGGGCCAUCGCUCAACGGAUAAAAGGUACUCCGGGGAUAACAGGCUGAUACCGCCCAAGAGUUCAUAUCGACGGCGGUGUUUGGCACCUCGAUGUCGGCUCAUCACAUCCUGGGGCUGAAGUAGGUCCCAAGGGUAUGGCUGUUCGCCAUUUAAAGUGGUACGCGAGCUGGGUUUAGAACGUCGUGAGACAGUUCGGUCCCUAUCUGCCGUGGGCGUUGGAAGAUUGAGAGGGGUUGCUCCUAGUACGAGAGGACCGGAGUGAACGCACCACUGGUGUUCGGGUUGUCAUGCCAAUGGCAUUGCCCGGUAGCUAAGUGCGGAAAAGAUAAGCGCUGAAAGCAUCUAAGCGCGAAACUUGCCUCAAGAUGAGUCUUCCCUGGGCCUUUAAGGCCCCUGAAGGAACGUUUAAGACUAAGACGUUGAUAGGCUGGGUGUGUAAGUGCAGCGAUGCAUUGAGCUAACCAGUACUAAUGAUCCGUGAGGCUUAACCUUACAACACCGAAGGUGUUU